Molecule: ribosomal RNA, 450 nt
Filed under: uncultured bacterium
Lineage: Bacteria
Description: partial 16S ribosomal RNA
Rfam family: Bacterial small subunit ribosomal RNA
Source: RNAcentral
GUGAGGAAUAUUGCGCAAUGGGCGAAAGCCUGACGCAGCGACGCCGCGUGGAGGAUGAAGGUCUUCGGAUUGUAAACUUCUGUUAAGUGGGAAGAAAGGGCUGCUUUUAAUAGAAGCAGUUAAUGACGGUACCAUUAAAGAAAGCACCGGCUAAACUCGUGCCAGCAGCCGCGGUAAUACGAGUGGUGCAAGCGUUAUUCGGAAUAAUUGGGCGUACAGGGUGUGUAGGCGGUAUGUUAAGUCUGUUGUUAAAGACUCCGGCCUAACCGGAGACAGGCAGCGGAAACUGGCGUACUAGAGGGUGGAAGAGAGAAGUGGAAUUCUCGGUGUAGCGGUAAAAUGCGUAGAUAUCGAGAGGAACACCGAUGGCGAAGGCAGCUUCUUGGUCCAUACCUGACGCUGAAACACGAAAGCGUGGGGAGCAAACAGGAUUAGAUACCCCUGUAGUCC